AGCGAACGCUGGCGGCAGGCCUAAACAUGCAAGUCGAACGCCGUAGCAAUACGGAGUGGCAGACGGGUGAGUAACGCGUGGGAACGUACCCUUUGGUUCGGAACAACACAGGGAAACUUGUGCUAAUACCGGAUAAGCCCUUACGGGGAAAGAUUUAUCGCCAAAGGAUCGGCCCGCGUCUGAUUAGCUUGUUGGUGAGGUAACGGCUCACCAAGGCUACGAUCAGUAGCUGGUCUGAGAGGAUGAUCAGCCACACUGGGACUGAGACACGGCCCAGACUCCUACGGGAGGCAGCAGUUAGGAAUCUUGGACAAUGGGCGGCAAGCCUGAUCCAGCCAUGCCGCGUGAGUGAUGAAGGCCUUAGGGUUGUAAAGCUCUUUCAGCGGGGAAGAUAAUGACGGUACCCGCAGAAGAACGCCCCGGCUAACUUCGUGCCAGCAGCCGCAAGU
This 449-nucleotide ribosomal RNA is filed under the name uncultured bacterium. Its description in RNAcentral is "bacterial SSU rRNA". It matches the Rfam family "Bacterial small subunit ribosomal RNA", at positions 29 to 522 of the family's 1533-position model. The record is from RNAcentral.